Schistocerca gregaria is the source of this 1050-nucleotide long non-coding RNA. RefSeq lists it as uncharacterized. The record is from RefSeq and is a predicted model, not a curated record. The transcript has 2 exons. Lineage: Eukaryota; Metazoa; Arthropoda; Insecta; Orthoptera; Acrididae.
AUUUUAUUAUAUUUAUUUUUUGUUUAUUUAAUUAUUUAAUAUAAAUAAUUUUAUUGUAUUUUUGUCUUAGUAUAUUUUAUAGAAUUGAUUUUUUUAAUUAUAGUUUAUUGGUAAUGUAAGUGUUUUAUGAAAUAUUAUUUUAAAUUUUUUUAAGUAGAUUUUAUUUAUUGUACCUUUUGUAUCAGGGUUUAUCAAAAUUUUAGUAUUUAUUUUACUUGUCUCGAUUUGGGUUGAUUUAUAAAUAAUUUAUAGUUAAUGUAUCAUAAUUAUUAUUAAAUUAUUUAUAGAAAUGAGAUGUUAAUCGUUUCCCAAGAUAUCUAGUUUCUUAAGAAAAAAUUUAAUUUUUUAAAGUUAUUUGUUUUUAUUUAAUUUUUUAAGUAAAAAUAUUAACUUAUUUAUUCUUUAAGGGAUAAGCUUUGAAGUUAAUAACCUAUAAUUUAUUUUAUAGAAAUAUAAUAGUAAGCUUUAAACCAGCUAUCUUUAAGAUUAAGUUUUAGUUCAUUAUUUUUUAUUUUGAUUUUAUAAAUAUUUUAGGUUUUUUAUUAAGAUUAUUAAUUUAAUUUUAAAAUUUUUGUAAUAAUGAUAGAAUUAGUAUAUUUAUUUGUAUGAAAUUUUUACCUUGUGAACUUAUUAUAAGGAACUAGGCAUAAUUGAUUUCCGCCUGUUUAUCAAAAACAUGUCCUCUUGUUUAUAUUUUGAGGUCUGGCCUGCUCACUGAGCGUAUUUUUAAAGAGCCGCGGUAUUUUGACCGUGCAAAGGUAGCAUAAUCAUUAGUCUCUUAAUUAGUGGCUGGAAUGAAUGGCUUGACGAGAAAUCAACUGUCUCUUAAUAAAUUUUUGAAUUUAACUUUUGAGUCAAAAGGCUUAAAUUCUUCUUUAGGACGAGAAGACCCUAUAGAGCUUGACAUUUUACUUUUAUAUAGUUUUUUGUUUGUCUUUCUAUAUUUAAUGAUGAUGUUUUGUUGGGGUGACAUGAAGAAUAGAUAAACUCUUCAUUAUUAUAUCAUUUAUUUAUGUUUGUUAUUUUGAUCCAUAAUUUAUGAUCAUAAGA